ACGGAAGGCAGCAGUAGGGAAUAUUGCACAAUGGGGGAAACCCUGAUGCAGCAACGCCACGUGUGGGAAGAAGCAUUUCGGUGUGUAAACCACUGUCGUGAGGGAAUAAUGCUUGGUCUCGGCCAAGUUGAAUGUACCUCGAAAGGAAGCACCGGCAAACUUCGUGCCAGCAGCCGCGGUAAUACGAGGGGUGCAAGCGUUGUUCGGAAUCACUGGGCGUAAAGGGAGCGCAGGCGGAGAUGCAAGCAGUCUGUACAAUACCGGGGCCCAACCCCGGACCUGCAGACUGGACUGUUCCUCUUGGAUAGUUCAGGGGCAAGCGGAAUUCCUGGUGUAGCGGUGGAAUGCGUAGAGAUCAGGAAGAACACCGAUGGCGAAGGCAGCUUGCUGGGGACUUAUCGACGCUCAUGCUCGAAAGUGCAGGUAGCAAACAGGAUUAGAUACCCUGGUA
This 451-nucleotide ribosomal RNA is filed under the name uncultured Fibrobacter sp. RNAcentral's name for it is "bacterial SSU rRNA". It matches the Rfam family "Bacterial small subunit ribosomal RNA", at positions 341 to 792 of the family's 1533-position model. The record is from RNAcentral. Lineage: Bacteria; Pseudomonadati; Fibrobacterota; Fibrobacteria; Fibrobacterales; Fibrobacteraceae.